RNAcentral lists this ribosomal RNA (388 nucleotides) under Salmonella enterica subsp. enterica serovar Infantis. Its description in RNAcentral is "partial 23S ribosomal RNA". It matches the Rfam family "Bacterial large subunit ribosomal RNA", at positions 1180 to 1547 of the family's 2925-position model. Lineage: Bacteria; Pseudomonadati; Pseudomonadota; Gammaproteobacteria; Enterobacterales; Enterobacteriaceae. The record is from RNAcentral.
UUACGAUUGACGGAGCGAAGCGACGUCAAAGCGUAUACAAAGUCGAGUCGGUUUAAGGAUACGUUCGUUGGGUAGGGGAGCGUUCUGUAAGCCUGUGAAGGUGUGUCGUGAGGCAUGCUGGAGGUAUCAGAAGUGCGAAUGCUGACAUAAGUAACGAUAAAGCGGGUGAAAAGCCCGCUCGCCGGAAGACCAAGGGUUCCUGUCCAACGUUAAUCGGGGCAGGGUGAGUCGACCCCUAAGGCGAGGCCGAAAGGCGUAGUCGAUGGGAAACGGGUUAAUAUUCCCGUACUUGGUGUUACUGCGAAGGGGGGACGGAGAAGGCUAUGUUGGCCGGGCGACGGUUGUCCCGGUUUAAGCGUGUAGGUGUGUGUUCCAGGUAAAUCCGGUU